Molecule: ribosomal RNA, 494 nt
Filed under: Clostridioides difficile
Lineage: Bacteria; Bacillati; Bacillota; Clostridia; Peptostreptococcales; Peptostreptococcaceae
Description: partial 23S ribosomal RNA
Rfam family: Bacterial large subunit ribosomal RNA
Source: RNAcentral
ACGGGACACGUGAAACCCUGUGGGAAGCAGGAGGGACCACCCUCCAAGGCUAAAUACUACCUAGUGACCGAUAGCGUAUAGUACCGUGAGGGAAAGGUGAAAAGAACCCCGGGAGGGGAGUGAAAUAGAACCUGAAACCCUGCACUUACAAGCUGUGGAAGCACAUUUCUUGUGUGACCGCGUACUUUUUGUAGAACGGGCCAACGAGUUACGUUAAGUAGCAAGGUUAAGCACUUAAGGUGCGGAGCCGUAGCGAAAGCGAGUUUUAACUGAGCGUUCAGUUACUUGACGUAGACCCGAAACCGGGCGACCUACCCAUGAGCAGGAUGAAGCGAAAGUAAAAUUUCGUGGAGGUCCGAACCCACGAGCGUUGAAAAGCUCGGGGAUGACUUGUGGGUAGCGGUGAAAUUCCAAUCGAGCCCGGAGAUAGCUGGUUCUCCCCGAAAUAGCUUUAGGGCUAGCCUCAAGGUGAGAGAUACGGAGGUAGAGCACUG